This 479-nucleotide ribosomal RNA is filed under the name soil fungal sp. DM060. Its description in RNAcentral is "eukaryotic LSU rRNA". It matches the Rfam family "Eukaryotic large subunit ribosomal RNA", at positions 151 to 655 of the family's 3401-position model. Lineage: Eukaryota; Fungi. The record is from RNAcentral.
GCAGAGGAUGCUUUUGGCAAGGUGCCUUCCGAGUUCCCUGGAACGGGACGCCAUAGAGGGUGAGAGCCCCGUCUGGUCGGACACCGAGCCUCUGUAAAGCUCCUUCGACGAGUCGAGUAGUUUGGGAAUGCUGCUCAAAAUGGGAGGUAUAUGUCUUCUAAAGCUAAAUACCGGCCAGAGACCGAUAGCGCACAAGUAGAGUGAUCGAAAGAUGAAAAGCACUUUGAAAAGAGAGUUAAAUANCACGUGAAAUUGUUGAAAGGGAAGCGUUUAUGACCAGACUUGGCCCGGUUGAUCAUCCGCCCUUCUGGGUGGUGCACUCUGCCGGUCCAGGCCAGCAUCAGUUCGCUCCGGGGGAUAAAGGUUUCGGGAAUGUAGCUCCUCCGGGAGUGUUAUAGCCCGUUGCGUAAUACCCUGNGGUGGACUGAGGUCCGCGCUCUGCAAGGAUGCUGGCGUAAUGGUCAUCAACGACCCGUCUU